Molecule: transfer RNA, 70 nt
Filed under: Microcebus tavaratra
Lineage: Eukaryota; Metazoa; Chordata; Mammalia; Primates; Cheirogaleidae
Description: tRNA-Lys
Source: RNAcentral
CACUGUGAAGCUAACAAGCAUUAACCUUUUAAGUUAAAGAUUGAAAGUCCCUAAACCUUUCCACAGUGAA